CAGUUAGCAGACUGCAGGUGUAGUUUCCUGCUUUGUCCACAGGGGGCAGCACAGCCCCAAUGUUAAAAACAACCUCACUAAUGUUUACUUCCUGUUUCAGCUCCCUUUCCACAAACGAGGGAAAGUUUAAACAAAACACGUCUAACUUUUACACAAAACAGCGAUGUAAUGUCUAUUAAAACGUUUCAACCUCUUCAUUUGUUAGAGAGAUGGGUCCAGGAAAACAACGAGUUAGUAAACAAAUGGAAGCAGCAAGUAGGAGGAGGAGAUACCCUCGGACGAGACCAGAGCCAGACCCAUCUGAGAUGCUGUUCCUCUGAGUUUCACAAACUUUUAAUGAAAAUCCAAGGUAUCCCUCCUCUUGCAGAUCACACACAGUUGGAGCUGACAGUGGUGUACAAUGCUUGUGUUUGCUUCACUGCUCAGUCUCAGUUCUCAGAAGCUGAGCUGCUCCUCACACAAUCCACAGAGAGAGUUCUACAAGUACACAGUACUUCUACAGAAGAUGACCCUGCUGCCUCGGACCCUCAUUUGUUUUGGAGAACAGUUCUUAAAUCAGUGGGAAACACCGCUUUGGCUCCCUGUGUACUGCGCCUUCUCUGUCUGCAGUGGGCAAUAUGGCUGUCUACCUGUCAGCUGAAAACUAUACAGGAAUUUCAGAAUGAGUUGAUGUCUGUGUUUGAAAGACUGUCUACUGAAGUUUGGGAUAAGGGGAGGAAGUCCUCUGACGAUCCUCUACUGGUGAUGGACCCAAGGAAGCUGGUUGAAUUAUUGCAGAUCUGCACUUACAUUGCCCAAGGUGCAGAAAGCUUGAGUGAAGGUCAGAGUUCAGAAGCGCUGUCUGCUCUCCACACAGCUUCCUCUCUGCCUGCUCCCAGGACUCUAAUAGCAUACACACACCUCCUCUCAGGAUCCUGCCUCGCCCAUAUGGGCCGCCCUCAGAUGGCCUUGCAGUGUUACAGGAAAGCUCUGGAAACAGAUCGCCGGUGUUUGUGUGCUCUGUACCGGAGCAUGCUCAUUUACAGGCAGCUUGGCAACACACAGGCUGAGAUACAAGCUCUGCGUUUGCUGCACUCAACUCUGAUGUUGCCCUCCGCCACAGAGCCCCCUCUGGCCGGUACCCCUCUCCUCUCCCCGUCCUUACUGCUGUGCAGCCAAUCCCUGAGCAGCAUGCUCUCAGUCCCCUCUGCUCUCUCUAUCCUUCACAAUCUGGCCCUGAAGUGUGUGCUCCAUGGGAGGGUGUCAGAGGGUGUUGAAUAUUAUUUAGAUCUGCUGGCUGCUCUUCAAUCAGAAGAUCAACAUGGAAUGCAUGCUGGGAGCCCUCCCCUCCCCAGGUUGCCUGAGCUCUACCUGCAGGCCGGCGCUGCCUUGCUCAUGGCCCAACGCCCCGCUGAUUGUGUUGCGCUGUGCGAUGAAGUCAUCACUACAACACUGGAGCUGCUGCCUGAGAGAGUGGUGUUGGAAGAGCCGGAUGAGGAGUGUGAGGCUGGGAGCAGGGCUCUGAGCGGGGGGGGUGAAGAUAGGGUGGGAAUGCUUCUCUGGACGGCAGCUGCCUACCUCCUCCAUGGUCACUGCAACACUCACCUGAAGGAUUGGAAACAAGCUGUGACUCACUACGCAAGGCCCGUACAAUUGCCUUUAUUUCUGCCUACAGUUUUCGAGAUUAAAAACAAAAAUGUGUUUCAACCUGCUGGUGAAGGUGCGCUUGAAGAAAAGAGGCUUCCAACCGCAGAUUCCCAGUGCAGAUAUGGUUGGAAAGCAGGGAACAGACCUGUGUAUCCUCCAGAGGUUGAAGGGGCUUUCACUGGCGGGUAGAGGCAUCAGCUUCACCCAAACAGACCAACUGAGAGAGGCACUGAGGGACCUACAGCUCAGCCUGCAGGCAUUCCCAGAGUGUGCCACUGCAGGCCUCUGGUGUGGAGAGGUGCUGUGGAGGCUGGGCAGGAGACGGGAGGCAGCGGCUUGUUGGGAAAACACUUGGAGCUUCACCCCACAGUCCUCAGAAGAGAGUCUAUCAGUGUACCUACACGAACCCCAGUCUGGUCCUCAAUUGGACUCCAUGGAGCUGCGCCGCAGAAUACAGGAACUUGGUCCUUUAUUGUGAGCGAGACAAAAGAAGAAUACCCUAUCACUUACUGAACAGGAUCAACUUUCUGUUUCCUGUAAACUGAAACCCAUACCCACAACAAACACGUGUCUACUUGGACAGUAAAAAUAAACAAGUAUUGAAAGUGCAUGGUGUGGUAAAUUUGGCAGAUGUUUUAUUCCUGAAAUUAAGAUGACUUGAUAUGCUGUUGUUUGGUCACAGAGGGUCUCAACUGGCUUGUUAGAAACAAAAUGUGUAUUUUGCCAGGCAUGAGUAAGGGAAUGUUACUUUAAAAUUGAUUGUGGGUUACAUAAGAUAACACAAUACGUACUACUUAAGAAGACACACACAAUAAACUGUGUUACUCUAAAAUGUCUAUUUAUACCUGUUUUUGUAUGGAUUGCCAUUACAAAUAAAACUCACAAAUGACUUGCA
Molecule: RNA transcript, 2521 nt
Organism: Gymnodraco acuticeps
Lineage: Eukaryota; Metazoa; Chordata; Actinopteri; Perciformes; Bathydraconidae
Gene: fancg
Gene name: FA complementation group G
Exons: 14
Source: RefSeq, a predicted model, not a curated record